This 458-nucleotide ribosomal RNA is filed under the name uncultured bacterium. Its description in RNAcentral is "bacterial SSU rRNA". It matches the Rfam family "Bacterial small subunit ribosomal RNA", at positions 343 to 793 of the family's 1533-position model. The record is from RNAcentral.
UGGAGGCAGCAGUGGGGAAUUUUGGACAAUGGGCGCAAGCCUAAUCCAGCCAUACCGCGUGAGUGAAGAAGGCCUUCGGGUUGUAAAGCUCUUUCGGCAGGAAAGAAAUCGUGCAAUCUAAUAAAUUGUAUGGAUGACGGUACCUGAAGAAGAAGCACCGGCUAACUACGUGCCAGCAGCCGCGGUCAUACGUAGGGUGCGAGCGUUAAUCGGAAUUACUGGGCGUAAAGCGUGCGCAGGCGGUUUUGUAAGACAGACGUGAAAUCACCGGGCUUAACCUGGGAACUGCGUUUGUGACUGCAAGGCUAGAGUGUAGCAGAGGGGGGUAGAAUUACACGUGUAGCAGUGAAAUGCGUAGAUAUGUGGAGGAAUACCGAUGGCGAAGGCAGCCCCCUGGGCUAACACUGACGCUCAUGCACGAAAGCGUGGGGAGCAAACAGGAUUAGAUACCCGUGUAC